This 436-nucleotide ribosomal RNA is filed under the name uncultured bacterium. RNAcentral describes it as "bacterial SSU rRNA". It matches the Rfam family "Bacterial small subunit ribosomal RNA", at positions 954 to 1392 of the family's 1533-position model. The record is from RNAcentral.
GCAUAACGCGAAGAACCUUACCUAGACUUGACAUCUCCUGAAUUACUCGUAAUGGAGGAAGCCCUUCGGGGCGAGGAAGACAGGUGGUGCAUGGUUGUCGUCAGCUCGUGUCGUGAGAUGUUGGGUUAAGUCCCGCAACGAGCGCAACCCUUGUUGUUAGUUGCUACCAUUAAGUUGAGCACUCUAACGAGACUGCCGCGGUUAACGCGGAGGAAGGUGGGGAUGGACGUCAAAUCAUCAUGCCCCUUAUGUCUAGGGCUACACACGUGCUACAAUGGCCGGUACAGAAAGAUGCAAACCCGUGAGGGGGAGCUAAACUCAAAAGCCGGUCCCAGUUCGGAUUGUAGGCUGAAACUCGCCUACAUGAAGUUGGAGUUGCUAGUAAUCGCGAAUCAGCAUGUCGCGGUGAAUACGUUCCCGGGUCUUGUACACACCG